UACAGAGGGGGCAAGCGUUGUUCGGAAUUACUGGGCGUAAAGCGCACGUAGGCGGAUUGUUAAGUCGAACGUGAAAUCCCUGGGCUCAACCCAGGAACUGCGUCCGAUACUGGAAGGCUUGAAUCCGGGAGAGGGAUGCGGAAUUCCAGGUGUAGCGGUGAAAUGCGUAGAUAUCUGGAGGAACACCGGUGGCGAAGGCGGCAUCCUGGACCGGUAUUGACGCUGAGGCGCGAAAGCCAGGGGAGCAAACGGG
This 253-nucleotide ribosomal RNA is filed under the name uncultured bacterium. RNAcentral describes it as "partial 16S ribosomal RNA". It matches the Rfam family "Bacterial small subunit ribosomal RNA", at positions 524 to 776 of the family's 1533-position model. The record is from RNAcentral.